RNAcentral lists this ribosomal RNA (484 nucleotides) under uncultured bacterium. Its description in RNAcentral is "partial 16S ribosomal RNA". It matches the Rfam family "Bacterial small subunit ribosomal RNA", at positions 30 to 507 of the family's 1533-position model. The record is from RNAcentral.
AUUGAACGCUGGCGGCAGGCCUAACACAUGCAAGUCGAGCGGAUGAAGGGAGCUUGCUCCUGGAUUCAGCGGCGGACGGGUGAGUAAUGCCUAGGAAUCUGCCUGGUAGUGGGGGAUAACGUCCGGAAACGGGCGCUAAUACCGCAUACGUCCUGAGGGAGAAAGUGGGGGAUCCUCGGACCUCACGCUAUCAGAUGAGCCUAGGUCGGAUUAGCUAGUUGGUGGGGUAAAGGUCUACCAAGGCGACGAUCCGUAACUGGUCUGAGAGGAUGAUCAGUCACACUGGAACUGAGACACGGUCCAGACUCCUACGGGAGGCAGCAGUGGGGAAUAUUGGACAAUGGGCGAAAGCCUGAUCCAGCCAUGCCGCGUGUGUGAAGAAGGUCUUCGGAUUGUAAAGCACUUUAAGUUGGGAGGAAGGGCAGUAAGUUAAUACCUUGCUGUUUUGACGUUACCAACAGAAUAAGCACCGGCUAACUUCGUG